This is a small nucleolar RNA of Octodon degus (degu), 130 nucleotides long. The record is from Ensembl. Lineage: Eukaryota; Metazoa; Chordata; Mammalia; Rodentia; Octodontidae.
UUUCAAAGUGUUGAGUUCAGCUCAGAGUAUCUUCCCUGCUCUGGUAAUUAAACUUUGGAACACUGAAACUGGCUGGGACCAUGCUUGGAUAGAAAGCUUUACUCUGUUCUUUUGUCCCCAGCCUACAGCU